This is an RNA transcript of Gymnodraco acuticeps, 3045 nucleotides long. It is a transcript of the gene named zinc finger MYM-type protein 1-like, with no coding region annotated. The record is from RefSeq and is a predicted model, not a curated record. NCBI's taxonomy places the organism in Eukaryota, Metazoa, Chordata, Actinopteri, Perciformes, Bathydraconidae. The transcript is spliced from 2 exons.
UGGUUUCAUUAUAAUUAAAUGUAUUUAUCAAGGGGGCAUUUCAAGUCCUGCGGGGGGGUUUUCCUUUUCAGCAGGGGCCUACCCCGUGCCGAUCACGGACCCGCACGGGUAGGCGUCUGAAAUGGAUAGCUCCAUCUGUAAACACACACUGUGGUCAAUUUGGGGGAGGAUUUGGCGCCCUCUAUCAAAAGUUAUUUAAAUGUGAUAUUCCCGAAACUGCUAUUUUCUGCAUCUAUAGCGCUUUCUGAACAUAAAACUCAAAGAAUAUUCACAUGACCACGGCCGCUAGUUUGGGGACAGCGUCCUUCAGUGAAGUAUCUAUCAAACUCUAAUUUGAUAUGCUAUAACAUAUUAUAACAUUAACAGUACAAAAUAGGUAUUAUCUGUGACAUGUCUUCUCUACUGUUGAUGUGUUUUAUACUGCACGUUUAUAGCCUAUAUUAUUUGAUGUUUAUUUUAUUCAAAUGUAAUUGUGUCAAUACUUUAUUCCACCGUUUGAAUGCCUGAACACAUUUGGGAUAGUUAAAGUAUCCAUCUGUCUGGUAUAAAGCAAUGUUAGGGUACCAAUUACCCAGUGGCGAACCGUCAGGGCCUUCAAGGUAGUCAGAGAAUACCCUGAUAACUCAGAUAAAAAAAAGACAUUUAUUGAUUUAAUUAUAUAAAUACAAUUUAAUAAAAUGUAAAUACAUUUUAUAAAUGAGAAUCGUAUCUGUGUUGUUGUUCUGUAAUAAACAGUGUUACGUGGAUUUGUUUGUCCUUCUCGGACCUUGCACUAUGCAUUUUAGAAAAUAAAUGCAACCAAUCAGAUCUGUGUCUGUGGGUAUUCUGUAUCCUUGAUAGAAGGCCCUGGUCGUUGAACUGAAUGAGAGCGAACACUCUGAUUGACAGUUUGAUCAACCAAUCAUAUAUUGAUUUGUAGCCAAUGGGCGUAUUCUUUCGGAGUUUCCCACGGUGCAGGGUAUGCUAGAAGGCCCGUUAGCUCUGACAGGUGCGAGACACAGGAUAUAGAUGGGACGUAAUCAUUCAUUUUCUGUUUUAUUCGUUUUAACGUUGACAUGGCGACAGGUGAAGAAGAUGUUGUUGCGGAAUUAUUGUCGGUUCCUUUUUCAAGACGACAAUUCACUAAAAAGACGGACAUUGUAAAAAAAGGGCGCCCAACGCCUGAAAAUCUGGAGCUGAAUCAAGUUGCUAAAGGCUAUGUUCGCCAUUUCCAGCCUAGCAACUGGGAAAGAUACCCGUGGAUUACAGGCUCAGUUAGUCACAAAAGGCUCUACUGCUGGGAGUGCUUGCUUUUUGGGACCGAAAAGGGGGCAUGGAAUUGGAAAGGCUACGAUAAUCUGAGCUGUUUAACCAAGGCUGCACAAAAAUACCAAAACACAGCAGGGCAUCUUAAGGCAACGGUCACCAUGAAGACUUUUGGAGACACAAGGAUUGAUCUACAGCUGGACGAACAGAGACGUAGAGAAACGAUCAUUCACAACGAAAAGGUAAACACAAAUCGGGAUAUUUUUGAAACGUCUGAUCCACUGUGUGAUUUUCCUUCCUUUCAGGGGCCAUGAUGAGAGCAGAGAAUCAGCCAAUCGAGGUAAUUACCUGGAGCUUCUUACAUUCAUAGCAGAAUAUGAUCCAGACUUGCACUACCAUUUGUCCACUUCUAAGGUGUUCAUUGGAACCUCGAGUCAAAUACAGAACGACUUGAUAAGUGCUGUGGCCGAAGUGAUGGGUGAGACCAUCAAAGAAGAAAUAAGUAAAGCACCCUUCGUAGCUUUAAUGCUGGAUGAAACAACAGAUGUCAGCAAUGCUGCACAGUUGUCGUUUGUUCUUCGGUUUGCAACAGAAAGUGGCGUAAAAGAGAGGUUCGUCAAAUUUGAGGAUGUGACGGGGAAGAAACGGGCAGAGGAUGUAGCAGCCAUGGCCCUUGAUUUCUUGGAGGAACAUGGAUGCAUGGGCAAACUUGUAGCCCAGUGCUAUGACGGUGCUGCCGUUAUGGCAUCGGGGCUGAACGGAGUCCAAGCCAAGGUCAAGGAAAAUAUCCCACAGGCACUUUUCAUACACUGUUAUGCACAUGCCCUUAAUUUGGUUUUAUCUCAAGGUGUAGUUAAAAUUAAAGAAUGCAGAAUUUUCUUCUCACACCUUUCUGGCCUGGCUGCGUUCUUUUCUAGAUCGCCAAAACGAACGCAGCUGCUUGAUGAAAUAUGCCAGAAGCGACUGCCACGAGUGGCACCAACCAGGUGGAAUUUUGCAUCAAGAUUGGUGUGCACUGUCUUUGAAAAGAAGGAUGCUCUUAAGGAUCUGUUUGACUACAUAGUUGAACACCACGAGGAAUUUGAUGAUGCUGCCAUUCUCAGUGCUGAUGGCUACCUAUCAAACCUGGGCAACUUUGAAUUUAGAUUUUUCCUUUCAACUUUUAACGAGAUAUUUGCGCAUGCAGAUGUGCUCUUCGACAUCUUACAGAACAAGUCAUUCGACAUGCAGUUUUGUCUGACAAGGGUGGAAGAGUUUUGCAUUUGCAUUGAAGGGCAGAGGGAUCGUUUUGAUCAAAUAUAUGAUGAGACUGUGCAGGACACCGGCCUGCCAACUGGACGGAGAGCCCACGGAGAUUCUCGCUCACACUACAAGAAGCUGCACAAUGGCAUUCUUGAGAACAUUUUAAAUCAGGUGCAAAAUCGGUUUAAAGAUCACAAAAAACUGUCAUUCCUUUCUCUUCUGGACCCUCAACAGUUCACCAGCUUUAACAGCAAUUUCCCUGAAACGUUUGUGUCUACAGAAGGUCCAGUUGUGAUAGACACGCUUCGCCACUGCAAUUACCUCUAGUAAACUGCCAGUUUUUGGUAUACAAGUUAUGUAUGUUGUUUUUGUCUAUGCUGUCAGGCAUUACAGGGAGAAGCAUGGAGAUGGCAACACCAGUUCUCCGCAUCCUGAAUCCCCAAGCUCCAGGGGAUCGCACACAGGAAGAGUUGCAAAUCAUGACGAGCACACUGGACUCAUCCUCGUGACCAGGGGAUGAUGGUGACCUGGUAGCUGCGAGCCAGGCUGUGGAAGAAG